This 302-nucleotide small nuclear RNA is filed under the name Erinaceus europaeus (western European hedgehog). RNAcentral's name for it is "7SK RNA". It matches the Rfam family "7SK RNA". Rfam says of the family: 7SK was discovered as an abundant small nuclear RNA in the mid-70s but a possible function has only recently been suggested. Two independent studies have found that 7SK RNA binds the CDK9/cyclin T complex (known as elongation factor P-TEFb). Lineage: Eukaryota; Metazoa; Chordata; Mammalia; Eulipotyphla; Erinaceidae. The record is from Rfam by way of RNAcentral.
GGAUGUGAGGGCGAUCUGUCUGCGACAUCUGUCAGCCCAUUGAUCGCCAUGGUUGAUUCGGCUGAUCUGGCUGGCUAGGCGGGUGUCCCCUUCCUCCCUCACCGCUCCAUGUGUGUCCCUCCCAAAGCUGUGUGCUCCAUUGAAGAGGACAGCCUUCCCCGAAUAGAGGCGGACUGGUCUUUGGUCGAGGGUAUACAAAUAGCUGCGCUCCCCUGAUAGAACCUCCAAACAAGCUCUCAAGGAUGUGUUGAGAUGAGGGGAAGAACAAGGAUGGAUCAUAAAUAAGGAAGUGGCAUAAAUUA